CAUAUGCUACCUCCGUCCCAAAAUUUUUGUCUUAGAUUUGUCUAGAAUUAGUGUUAGAUACAUCCGUAUCUAGAUAAAUUUAAGACAAGAAUUUUGGGACGGACGGAGUAAGUA
Triticum aestivum (bread wheat) is the source of this 114-nucleotide non-coding RNA. NCBI's taxonomy places the organism in Eukaryota, Viridiplantae, Streptophyta, Magnoliopsida, Poales, Poaceae. The record is from Rfam.